ACUCCUACGGGAGGCAGCAGUAAGGAAUAUUGGACAAUGGACGCAAGUCUGANCCAGCCAUGCCGCGUGAAGGAUGAAGNACCUCUNAAAUUGUAAACUUCUUUUAUAGGGGACGAAAAAAGGUCUUUCUAGAUCANNUGACAGUAGCCUAUGAGAAGG
Molecule: ribosomal RNA, 159 nt
Filed under: uncultured bacterium KNIB64
Lineage: Bacteria
Description: partial 16S ribosomal RNA
Rfam family: Bacterial small subunit ribosomal RNA
Source: RNAcentral